UACGUAGGGUGCGAGCGUUAAUCGGAAUUACUGGGCGUAAAGCGUGCGCAGGCGGUUCGUUGUGUCUGAUGUGAAAGCCCCGGGCUUAACCUGGGAAUGGCAUUGGAAACUGGCGAGCUGGAGUGUGGCAGAGGGGGGUGGAAUUCCGCGUGUAGCAGUGAAAUGCGUAGAGAUCGGGAGGAACAUCAGUUGCGAAGGCGGCCACCUGGACCAGCACUGACACUGAGGCACGAAAGCGUGGGGAGCAAACAGG
This 253-nucleotide ribosomal RNA is filed under the name uncultured bacterium. RNAcentral describes it as "partial 16S ribosomal RNA". It matches the Rfam family "Bacterial small subunit ribosomal RNA", at positions 524 to 776 of the family's 1533-position model. The record is from RNAcentral.